Molecule: ribosomal RNA, 451 nt
Filed under: Bacillus subtilis
Lineage: Bacteria; Bacillati; Bacillota; Bacilli; Caryophanales; Bacillaceae
Description: bacterial SSU rRNA
Rfam family: Bacterial small subunit ribosomal RNA
Source: RNAcentral
GCGUGCCUAUACAUGCAAGUCGAGCGGACAGAUGGGAGCUUGCUCCCUGAUGUUAGCGGCGGACGGGUGAGUAACACGUGGGUAACCUGCCUGUAAGACUGGGAUAACUCCGGGAAACCGGGGCUAAUACCGGAUGGUUGUUUGAACCGCAUGGUUCAAACAUAAAAGGUGGCUUCGGCUACCACUUACAGAAGGGACCCGCGGCGCAUUAGCUAGUUGGUGAGGUAACGGCUCACCAAGGCAACGAUGCGUAGCCGACCUGAGAGGGUGAUCGGCCACACUGGGACUGAGACACGGCCCAGACUCCUACGGGAGGCAGCAGUAGGGAAUCUUCCGCAAUGGACGAAAGUCUGACGGAGCAACGCCGCGUGAGUGAUGAAGGUUUUCGGAUCGUAAAGCUCUGUUGUUAGGGAAGAACAAGUACCGUUCGAAUAGGGCGGUACCUUGACGG